CCUACGGGAGGCAGCAGUGGGGCAUAUUGCACAAUGGGCGCAAGCCUGAUGCAGCGACGCCGCGUGAGCGAAGAAGUAUUUCGGUAUGUAAAGCUCUAUCAGCAGGGAAGAAACUCACGUUACCUGACUAAGAAACUCCAGCUAAAUACGUGCCAGCAGCCGCGGUCAUACGUAGGGCGCAGGCGUUAUCCGGAUUUACUGGGUGUAAAGGGAGCGUAGGCGGCCCUGUAAGUCUGGUGUGAAAAUUUGGUGCGCAACCCCAAACGUGCUUUGGAAACUGCAGGGCUGGAGUGCAGGAGAGGUAAGUGGAAUUCCUAGUGUAGCGGUGAAAUGCGUAGAUAUUAGGAGGAACACCAGUGGCGAAGGCGGCCUGCUGGACGGUAACUGACGCUGAGGCUCGAAAGCGUGGGGAGCAAACAGGAUUAGAUACCCUUGUAGUC
RNAcentral lists this ribosomal RNA (440 nucleotides) under uncultured bacterium. Its description in RNAcentral is "partial 16S ribosomal RNA". It matches the Rfam family "Bacterial small subunit ribosomal RNA", at positions 338 to 795 of the family's 1533-position model. The record is from RNAcentral.